AGGACGAACGCUGGCGGCGUGCUUAACACAUGCAAGUCGAGCGGAAAGGCCCUUCGGGGUACUCGAGCGGCGAACGGGUGAGUAACACGUGAGCAACCUGCCCUUAGCUCCGGGAUAGCUCCGGGAAACCGGAAUUAAUACCGGAUAUGACCUAGGCCGACAUCGGCUGUGGUGGAAAGUUUUUCGGCUGGGGAUGGACUCGCGGCCUAUCAGCUUGUUGGUGGGGUAAUGGCCUACCAAGGCGACGACGGGUAGCCGGCCUGAGAGGGCGACCGGCCACACUGGGACUGAGACACGGCCCAGACUCCUACGGGAGGCAGCAGUGGGAAUCUUGCGCAAUGGGCGAAAGCCUGACGCAGCGACGCCGCGUGGGGGAUGGAAGGCCUUCGGGUUGUAAACCCCGUUUCAGCAGGGACGAAGCGAAGUGACGGUACCUGCAGAAGAAGCGCCGGCUAACUACGCGCCAGCAGCCGC
RNAcentral lists this ribosomal RNA (474 nucleotides) under uncultured bacterium. Its description in RNAcentral is "SSU rRNA". It matches the Rfam family "Bacterial small subunit ribosomal RNA", at positions 26 to 518 of the family's 1533-position model. The record is from RNAcentral.